Molecule: ribosomal RNA, 433 nt
Filed under: uncultured bacterium
Lineage: Bacteria
Description: partial 16S ribosomal RNA
Rfam family: Bacterial small subunit ribosomal RNA
Source: RNAcentral
AACGAACGCUGGCGGCAUGCCUAACACAUGCAAGUCGAACGAGACCUUCGGGUCUAGUGGCGCACGGGUGCGUAACGCGUGGGAACCUGCCUUUAGGUUCGGAAUAACUCAGAGAAAUUUGAGCUAAUACCGGAUGAUGUCUUCGGACCAAAGAUUUAUCGCCGUUAGAUGGGCCCGCGUUGGUUUAGCUAGUUGGUGGGGUAAAGGCCUACCAAGGCGACGAUCCAUAGCUGGGCUGAGAGGAUGAUCAGCCACACUGGGACUGAGACACGGCCCAGACUCCUACGGGAGGCAGCAGUGGGGAAUAUUGGACAAUGGGCGAAAGCAUGAUCCAGCUAUGCCGCGUGAGUGAUGAAGGUCGUAGGGUUGUAAAGCUCUUUUACCCGAGAUGAUAAUGACAGUAUCGGGAGAAUAAGCUCCGGCUAACUCCGUG